UAUUAUCUGAUAGACAUAGAUCUCCAAGCAUUUCCCCGAAACUAGUACAGGAGUUUAAUGCUUGUAUUCCGUCUAUAUGGAUCAGCAAGUUUGGCUCUUCUGUUACAUUA
This is a small nucleolar RNA of Impatiens glandulifera, 110 nucleotides long. The record is from RefSeq and is a predicted model, not a curated record. Lineage: Eukaryota; Viridiplantae; Streptophyta; Magnoliopsida; Ericales; Balsaminaceae.